RNAcentral lists this ribosomal RNA (433 nucleotides) under uncultured bacterium. Its description in RNAcentral is "partial 16S ribosomal RNA". It matches the Rfam family "Bacterial small subunit ribosomal RNA", at positions 29 to 507 of the family's 1533-position model. The record is from RNAcentral.
AACGAAUGCUGGCGGCAGGCCUAACACAUGCAAGUCGAGCGAGGACUUCGGUCCUAGCGGCGGACGGGUGAGUAACGCGUGGGAACGUGCCCUUUGCUUCGGAAUAGCCCUGGGAAACUGGGAGUAAUACCGGAUGAGCCCUUUGGGGGAAAGAUUUAUCGGCGAAGGAUCGGCCCGCGUUGGAUUAGGUAGUUGGUGGGGUAAUGGCCUACCAAGCCGACGAUCCAUAGCUGGUUUGAGAGGAUGAUCAGCCACACUGGGACUGAGACACGGCCCAGACUCCUACGGGAGGCAGCAGUGGGGAAUCUUAGACAAUGGGGGAAACCCUGAUCUAGCCAUGCCGCGUGAGCGAUGAAGGCCUUAGGGUUGUAAAGCUCUUUCAGCUGGGAAGAUAAUGACGGUACCAGCAGAAGAAGCCCCGGCUAACUCCGUG